CUUCCAAUGGCUGAUAAAAGUGUUAAGUUGUAGCCUUAAUUAUGGAAAGGAUUUCCUUGGGAGA
This 64-nucleotide transfer RNA is filed under the name Isodiametra pulchra. RNAcentral's name for it is "tRNA-Tyr". The record is from RNAcentral. Lineage: Eukaryota; Metazoa; Xenacoelomorpha; Acoela; Isodiametridae.